RNAcentral lists this long non-coding RNA (1033 nucleotides) under Sorghum bicolor (sorghum). RNAcentral describes it as "long non-coding RNA (SBIC_LNC015803)". Lineage: Eukaryota; Viridiplantae; Streptophyta; Magnoliopsida; Poales; Poaceae. The record is from RNAcentral.
UUUUGACGUAAUUUCUCUUGAUGUAGCUAGCAGGUGGCAGAGGUGUAUUUAAAAGUCAGCAGCAUUGUGACAGCGAUUAGAAUAUCCUCCGUCUGCCAGUCUUCUUGAUUCUUAGAUUCUAUGGAGCUCAAAUAGACAACAAAGCUUGUGGAACUAAUUAAGUGUUAGCAUAAAUAUCUAACCUUUAUCAUGUUGAGACUCCUUAAUAAUUAUUACUCCCUGUUUUUAUAUUUUUAUUUUAUAAAGUAGAAAAAUAUUUUUGUUUUAUUUUUAUGCCACCACAGUGAAUGUACUUAUGGGUUUUAUGCCACUCGUAUCCUCACAUGGGGCUUACUAUUUUUCACAUUUUUACUUUCUGUUUAGAACUUAAUUAACUAAGUGAACUACCUGAAAUAAUUGAAAGGGAAAGGAUAACUACCAAGUUUACCUCUUGGCAAGGCGUUCGGUGUUUUUAAGUCCUCCGAACGGGACUCUCCUCCUUCUCAAUUAUCCUGAGGUUCGUUGGGUGGCGUAGUCGGUACUUCCGGUAGCGCCUCCUCUUCAUGUAUAGUUAUCUUCCUUUUCCACACCUGACUUGGUGCUUCGGUCUCCUCUAGAUAAUUCUGUUUAAACUCAACGUCUUCUGACCUUACAACUUUUCCUUCGUAGUCUGCCCAUCCGUCUUUGAUGAUUUGCCUCCUCUGGUUGCGGUUGCGUCGUCUUCUUCUUGUCCUGACCUGCUUAGAAUCUUCAACUAUAUAGUUAGAAUCAUUAAAGUAAUGGCGUACCUUCUCAGAGGGGAAAUACACGUGGUCUUCUCCGGUUCCAAUGUAGAUGAUAACUUGGAUAGUGUUGAGGAAUGGUCUUCCAAGGAUGAUGGGUGGAUCGUACUCGUCUUCUCCCAAAUCAAUGUUCUGAAAAUCAUCUGGAGCUAAAUAUAUAUUGGUUGUAGGGGCAUGGUUCCAUGCAGGAGCAGAUAAGUGACUGCGGCCAUUAUGUUGACGUUAAAUCCGGUGUCGUAGAGUGUUUUCUAAAAAGAGUAUCUAUUGGUUGU